CCUACGGGUGGCAGCAGUGAGGAAUAUUGGUCAAUGGACGAGAGCCUGAACCAGCCAAGUCGCGUGAAGGAUGACUGCUCUAUGGUUUGUAAACUUCUUUUAUAUGGGAAUAAAGUGAUGAACGUGUUCCUUUUUGUAUGUACCAUAUGAAUAAGCAUCGGCUAACUCCGUGCCAGCAGCCGCGGUAAUACGGAGGAUGCGAGCGUUAUCCGGAUUUAUUGGGUUUAAAGGGAGCGUAGAUGGGUUGUUAAGUCAGUUGUGAAAGUUUGCGGCUCAACCGGAGAAUUGCAUCUGAAACUGUUGGUCUUGAGUGUAGAAGAGGAGAGUGGAACUCGAUGUGUAGCGGUGAAAUGCGUAGAUAUUAGGAAGAACACCGGUGGCGAAGGCAGCUUACUGGACAGUAACUGACGUUGAGGCUCGAAAGCGUGGGGAGCAAACAGGAUUAGAUACCCGAGUAGUC
Molecule: ribosomal RNA, 460 nt
Filed under: uncultured bacterium
Lineage: Bacteria
Description: partial 16S ribosomal RNA
Rfam family: Bacterial small subunit ribosomal RNA
Source: RNAcentral